This 3000-nucleotide long non-coding RNA is filed under the name Vitis vinifera (wine grape). Its description in RNAcentral is "long non-coding RNA (VVIN_LNC004905)". The record is from RNAcentral. Lineage: Eukaryota; Viridiplantae; Streptophyta; Magnoliopsida; Vitales; Vitaceae.
UGACAAUUCAAAAAUGUAAUCAGAAUAAUUAAAGGACAAAUUUAUGAUCAUAUAACAUAAACAACCAUCUCACAUUCUUUUCCAACAUGAUUUUACAACAUGCAUGGGAUGUAUGAAAUGAAAAAUAGUUCUCCAAUAAUAGGUCCAUGCCAGAAAAUUGUGCUAAUCAAAAGCACAGCUGUAUUAAUGGGUUUUGCACUUCCAUGAUAAGAGAAGUACACAUGAGGAUAGGUUUUAUAAGAAAAUAGAAAAAGUUGUAUAACUCAACCAAGGUGCAAUGUUAAAAUGUGCAGGCGCCAUGGAGGCCUUCAUGUUUAUAUGGGCCUAACUUCUGUGUCUUAGACUGCAAGUACUCCUUGAAACAAUUAGCAACCCUUGGAACAGUAAACAUUCCUUGAGAGGCAGGAUGGCAAUUCUGUGGCUUUCCUUAUAGCAGGGCAAAGAAACACCAGCACAAACAUAAUCCGGGAUGAUUAUUUUAUAUAUCUUUAUAAAUGACAUUACAAACUAAGGGCUCUUAAGAAUUUGGGUCCAAGAUGGGUAUGAAUGUAUCCAUGCCCAAAUCCUAUUUUUUCUCAGCAGUUCUCAAAGCCUGCAGGAUCCAUUUACAAGUAUGAAACCAUUUCCUCAUGCCACAUCCUUUCACACACCCAUUCAUUGAAUAGGUUUUAGGACUGGCAAACCAGAUGACAACUUACAAUUGCAAUACCUCAUAGUCUGAUUGUGCAAAACAAUUAAAUAAUGACCCAAAAAGAAGGAAUGAGAGAGGGAAACCUCUUAUGCCAUUACAAGUUUUAAGUAGGGAAAGACUAGAUGUUCAGUAAAAUGAGGAAGCAGGAAACAACAAUGGUAAGAGAGGAGAUGAAGGUUUUCCUUUCCUUUUUUAAGUGGAUGGCAUCAAAAAGCCAAGAAAAGGUAUUCCACUCUGAUUUCAGCAUAAAUUUAUCACGUUUCUUAUAUUAAAAUAAGAGUUAUGUAAACAAGGGUAAUAAAAAAACAUAAAAAGGUUAAACAUGAACUCAUUUCAACAGAACAGUUAUGCCACAUUCUCCAUGAAUUUCUAAUCUAUCAGACAAAUAUGAGGAGAUGCAAAAAACAAAAAAAAAAAACAAAAAAAAUGCACUGGAACCAUGUCACAGAACCCAACUGCAUAACACCUUAUCCAAAUUAUAGACCAGCUUGGCUACCCUCACAGCCUCAACCUGCAUUUUUCAGACUUAACAACUUCACAUUAUACUUGAGCCUUCAACUUAAUCCAUUGCCAGACCAUCUCCAAGCACUCUCUCUCAUUUUAUGAUCAAUCAGCCACCUCCUAGCUUCUCACAAAUGUACCCAUUCCCAAUUGACUUCUUUUUAAUUUUCAAAACCAAAAUUCAAAAUAAACCUAUUGCAAAUGUAUUAUAUUAAUGAGACAGUAGAGCUAGUUUCCAUUUAGAAUUAAGUUCUAUACAAAGAAUUACAAUGCAUGAAAAAAAAAAAGACAAAGGAAAAAAUUAAUAAUAAGGGAAAAAAAAACCCUGGCAUUUAUGAAAAGAAAUUACAGUUCAUAAAAAGAUUAAAAUGAGAUAGAAAUUGAAGGCAUCCUUUGGUUAACAUUUCCAUGAAUACUCUUAUAUUUUUCAAACGCUAUAAUCCAAGUACUAACCAGAUAGUGCCUGAAUUGUAGAAUAGGAAUUCAAACGAGCACCCAUCUAGAUCACAAUUAGGUAGAUGAAAAACCAGAAUAAUGGGCCACAAAAGAGUAAACAAAUGAAACCUUUAGAUAUGUUUUUUGAAUGGAAAACCAAAUAAUAAAUCACAGCAAAAUCAAUACAGAUCUCCUCACAUUCAGAAACCAAAAUUAUCAAUAAUCUACUAGUCUCGGAUCCAAUUAGCCAAUAAGAAACAAUGCAGCAAAGAAAACCUUGUCAGAUCACACUCACAACUAGUCCACAGAAAACUAGGAACUAAAGUGAGGAAAGCAUUAAUGUACUCACGUAUUUUUUGCGGCCAUAGCCCUCUUCACCAUAACCGUACUUGCGAGGCUCAUCAUCAUCAUCGCGCCUCUCAUAAGCCGGCUUCUCGUAGCCCUCCUCUUCUUGCCCCUCAUUACUUGGCCUCCCAUAACUAGGCCUCCUCGGUGGCUCCUCCACCUCCGGACUCUCGUAGCUCGGCCUCCCAUACUGUGGCUUCCUGGGGGACCCUUCCCCACCAUAACCAUACCCGCCACCUUGUUCCUCUCCGAAGCUAGGUUUCCGACCGUACCCAGAUCCAUAUUCAGAACUCGGUGCUUCGUACUCAGGCCUCCGACCAUACCCAGAUCCAUACUCCGAACUGGGCUGCUCGAACUCGGGCCUCCGACCAUACCCAGAUCCAUACUCCGAACUAGGUUGCUCGUAUUCAGGCUUCCGACCGUACCCAGAUCCAUAUUCCGUGCUAGGCUGUUCGUAUUCAGGCUUCCGACCGUACCCAGAUCCAUAUUCCGAGCUAGGCUGUUCGUAUUCAGGCUUCCGACCGUACCCAGAUCCAUAUUCCGAGCUAGGCUGUUCGUAUUCAGGCUUCCGACCGUAGCCAGAUCCAUAUUCCGAGCUAGGCUGUUCGCAUUCAGGCUUCCGACCGUACCCGGAUCCGUACUCCGAACUGGGUUCCUCGUAAUCAGGCUUCCGCCCAUGCCCAGAUCCAUACUCACCCUCCCCACCAAAACUCGACGGCGGCUUCGGCUGAUACCCAUACUCACCACCAUCACCACUGCCUCCGAACCCUCCUUGGCCAGGAGGUGGUCCGGCGUAACCAAGGACCGGACGAGGCUUGGGACGAGCAUAGCUCUUGUAUUCAUUCUCAAGAGCUUCAUCACCGUAAGCCGAUGGUUCAGAGCAUGAUGUGUAGCUUGGGCGAUCGUAGUCUAUAUCACCGGACUUCGAGGAGAUCGGAUAGCAAGUCUCCUCCGACGGCUCCAAAGGGCGGCCAUAGAUGACCGUGAUGUCGUAGCCUCCACCAUACGGGGUCGGAUCGUACUCAUCG